UUGAAUUCUUGGCCUUAAGUGAU
This 23-nucleotide microRNA is filed under the name Homo sapiens (human). Its description in RNAcentral is "hsa-miR-4452". Lineage: Eukaryota; Metazoa; Chordata; Mammalia; Primates; Hominidae. The record is from miRBase by way of RNAcentral.